RNAcentral lists this ribosomal RNA (348 nucleotides) under Galeommatoidea sp. UF337873A. RNAcentral's name for it is "partial 16S ribosomal RNA". It matches the Rfam family "Bacterial large subunit ribosomal RNA", at positions 1862 to 2515 of the family's 2925-position model. The record is from RNAcentral. Lineage: Eukaryota; Metazoa; Mollusca; Bivalvia; Galeommatida.
CCCGGUGAAGUUUUAACGGCCGCAGUUGGUAGCUGUGCUAAGGUAGCGUAGUAAGUUGUCCUUUAAAUGGGGAAAGGUAUGAAUGGUUUGACGUGAGGGAUGCUGUCUCAGAUGGAGGAAAAGAAAUUUUCUUUUUGGUGAAAAGCCCAAAAUAAAAUUAAAAGACGAGAAGACCCUUUCGAGCUUGAUAAUAAUUAGGAAGCGGUUUUUAAUUGAAGUUUGGUUGGGGCAACUUAGGAGCAAGAGUAGACUCCUAGAGGUGGUAUGGAUCCAAAAGUUUUGAAUUAAGAAAAAGCUACCGUAGGGAUAACAGCGUUAUCUUUUCUAAGAGAACAAAUUGAAGAAAAG